AACRAGACCUCAGGUCAGGCGAGGCUACCCGCUGAGUUUAAGCAUAUSAAUAAGCRGAGGAAAAGAAACUAACWAGGAUUCCCCUA
RNAcentral lists this ribosomal RNA (86 nucleotides) under Erythrophleum suaveolens (ordeal-tree). RNAcentral describes it as "partial 26S ribosomal RNA". It matches the Rfam family "Eukaryotic large subunit ribosomal RNA", at positions 1 to 82 of the family's 3401-position model. Lineage: Eukaryota; Viridiplantae; Streptophyta; Magnoliopsida; Fabales; Fabaceae. The record is from RNAcentral.